Long non-coding RNA from Coccinella septempunctata (seven-spotted ladybird), 270 nucleotides. RefSeq lists it as uncharacterized. NCBI's taxonomy places the organism in Eukaryota, Metazoa, Arthropoda, Insecta, Coleoptera, Coccinellidae. The transcript is spliced from 2 exons. The record is from RefSeq and is a predicted model, not a curated record.
CAAGGACAUGACUCGCUCCUUCACUGUAAUCGGCAGCAGGAUUGCCCCCAGGUCGAUUUUCAUAAUUUGACUUUCCAUCCCCCUGCUAAAAAGUAGAUAAUGAAAAUGAAGAUGGCUACAAAAUAUGUAUAAGGCUGGUUGCAGACUUGAACCAGGUGAUCCAACUGAUACAGAAGCUUCUUACUUGUACUAUGCACCUAUCACCAACCAACACCAAAAAGUUAGAGAAAAAAAUAACUCAGAAAGUGAAAUUAUACAAGACUAAACUAA